GAUGAACGCUGGCGGCGUGCCUAAUACAUGCAAGUCGAGCGAACAGACGAGGAGCUUGCUCCUCUGACGUUAGCGGCGGACGGGUGAGUAACACGUGGAUAACCUACCUAUAAGACUGGGAUAACUUCGGGAAACCGGAGCUAAUACCGGAUAAUAUAUUGAACCGCAUGGUUCAAUAGUGAAAGACGGUUUUGCUGUCACUUAUAGAUGGAUCCGCGCCGCAUUAGCUAGUUGGUAAGGUAACGGCUUACCAAGGCAACGAUGCGUAGCCGACCUGAGAGGGUGGUCGGCCACACUGGAACUGAGACACGGUCCAUACUCCUACGGGAGGCAGCAGUAGGGAAUCUUCCGCAAUGGGCGAAAGCCUGACGGAGCAACGCCGCGUGAGUGAUGAAGGUCUUCGGAUCGUAAAACUCUGUUAUUAGGGAAGAACAAAUGUGUAAGUAACUAUGCACGUCUUGACGGUACCUAAUCAGAAAGCCACGGCUAACUACGUG
Molecule: ribosomal RNA, 497 nt
Filed under: uncultured bacterium
Lineage: Bacteria
Description: partial 16S ribosomal RNA
Rfam family: Bacterial small subunit ribosomal RNA
Source: RNAcentral